Lutra lutra (Eurasian river otter) is the source of this 2174-nucleotide long non-coding RNA. RefSeq lists it as uncharacterized. The record is from RefSeq and is a predicted model, not a curated record. The transcript has 3 exons. NCBI's taxonomy places the organism in Eukaryota, Metazoa, Chordata, Mammalia, Carnivora, Mustelidae.
CGCUUGAACCUCAGAGAGGGAAGGAUUCCCAGGGCAGAAAUAAGUUUGGGUGCAUUUCGAGCUUUCUGUUUCUGCUUGUUUGCUUUUGCAGCCGCUCACUCCGAAUGCGCGUGGAGCGCCCCACAGCACCACCGCCCUCCGCGCGCUGGCGCGCACACGCCCCCCGCCAGCCUGGGCGCCCGGCUGCGAACCCCGGGUCUGCAAACUUGAGGAUCUCCCCUCGUCGCGCUCGCCAGACAACUUAGCGAGCACCUCACGCUCCCGUACCCCCCUUCCUCCAGCCCUUCCUCCAAAUCCCAAGCCCACCGUCGCGUUCCAGAGAAGGUGCCCACGUCGCCCCCAGAUCCAGGAGCGCCCCCUCUCCACCCCCGGGGCUUCCCAGGUCGCUCACUCCUCCCGCACCCCCUCAGCUCUGCGGGGGACCGAAAACACACCCCGCCUGGGGCAGCCAGGGCCGAAACUGUCAAGAGGAGAAAAGGUAAAGAGGGAGGAGGGUGGCCAUAAACGGAUUUUUUUUUUUUCUUCUUAAAAGGACACUGCCGCUUUAAAAGUUUCUUUCCCGGGCCCCCACUCUCCGGUUCUCCGUAUUUUGGGGGAGCGUAUUUAAUUUGGACUACGCGGCUUUCCUCCUCUCUUCGCAGAAAAAUCAAAGCCAGGGGAGAUCGCUGGAGAUGGCGAGCUCCGAGACUCCCUCUAUCUUCUGUUUUCAGAGCAACUCUAUGCCCAGAGACAGAAAGGAGGAUCAGCGAGAUAAUCCUGUGCCUACUUCUGAGAAUCUCUCGGGAACAGCACUCGUCCCCAUCUGCAGCCAGACUGAGAAGAGACAAAUGCGAUCAUCCACGUUGGGGAAUCGCAGGUAGCUCCCUGCCAGCCCACCCCAGAACUGAGGAGAAAGUAAAAAGGAAUUCGACCUGGCCCAACACCCCAAGGAAGGAGGACGAUGGGGGGACGUGGCACUUUUUACUUCGGGAUGGGACGCCCAGUGGGUUUCCAGACUUGGUUUGAUACAUCUGUGUCUAAAAGAGGCUUUAGGUCUUGAACCGCCCGGUACAGCCAAUUUCUGGUGUGGCUGAAAGAGGUGGCUUUCAGCCCCUUCCCUGCUUUCUCUGAGAAGGAUCCAGAAACCACUUGGCAGGGCAGUUUCUACUGAAGAAAACUUUGGCCUGUUUGGUUGAUGACUAUCUAAGCUGGUUGUAAUAUGGCGUACUGCAUCUAGUUCUGUGUGGCUGCUAAUUGUCAAUUCCCAUUGGUAAUCUUACUAUUAAACCUGCAGUCUCAUCCAUAAAAGAUAUACUGGAGAGGCAUUAACAAUGCCUCGGUGAUAAAGUUCAGAUAAUUAACAGCUCUUAAUAAGUCACAUCAUUGUAGACAUCAUUCUGCACCUCCCUUCCAUUGAAACACACCCAUCACAUAGUAGGUGUUUAAUGAUAUCAAAGGAAACUAGAGAAUUGCAUCAAUAUUACCUUGACCCCAAACUCCAAUAUGAAGGGACAAUACAAACUAAAUGAGUAGAAAACAUUCAGGUGGUAUUAGCCUGACUUCUCUGUCUCAAUGCUCAAUUCACCAAUUCUUCCUGACUGCCCAAAUACUGAUGAAAUAAGUACAUUUUUAACAUACACCCCCACCUUCCUUUCAGAAAGCUCACAAAGUUUGACAAUAAAAAAUAUUAUUAUAUACCAGAAGGUGGCAUAAAUAUGUGUAUUUAGGGGGUUGGGAUGGGAGAAAGAAGUAGGGAACAUUUUCCUUUUUCUACCUUCCUAGUUUGGAAAAAGGCUUUUUAAAAAUGGGGGAGGGGGGCUUGUUAGAUAAUUCCUUAAGAUGAACCUCCAUGUGCCAAACUUCACACAUGAUUUGUGUUACUGUUACUGAUAUUGGUCUGAUUUCAAAUACACAAUGCUCUUUGCCGUGGUCUGUGUGUUAAAUCAGCAAGACCUGUGGUCCACUCUUCGGAGUGAUGUAAAUGAGAUGUGAACGGUUCUGAUACCUUAAUCCAGUCUGCAAGGAUCCCUGGCUUUAGCCUGUCUGUUGGCGCCUACAAACAAUGCCCCGAUUGUCUCCUCCAUCCCAAAUCAGAUGUGUGGGUUCCCCCAUACAUCAAAGCACAGAUUUCCAGAACAGCCUUCACACCAUUUACAAUUGGUUAGCCUGUUAAUAAUGUUCUUGAUGUAAUUGAC